AUUGAACGCUGGCGGCAUGCCUUACACAUGCAAGUCGAACGGAUUCAAGAGGCUUGCUUCUUGAGUUAGUGGCGAACGGGUGAGUAAAGCAUCGGAACGUACCCAGUUGUGGGGGAUAACGUAGCGAAAGUUACGCUAAUACCGCAUACGCACUGAGGUGGAAAGCGGGGGACCGAAAGGCCUCGCGCAAUUGGAGCGGCCGAUGUCGGAUUAGCUAGUUGGUGAGGUAAAGGCUCACCAAGGCGACGAUCCGUAGCUGGUCUGAGAGGACGACCAGCCACACUGGAACUGAGACACGGUCCAGACUCCUACGGGAGGCAGCAGUGGGGAAUUUUGGACAAUGGGCGAAAGCCUGAUCCAGCUAUGCCGCGUGAGUGAAGAAGGCCUUCGGGUUGUAAAGCUCUUUCAGACGGAAAGAAACGGUCUGGGUUAAUACCCUGGGCUAAUGACGGUACCGUAAGAAUAAGCACCGGCUAACUACGUGCCAGCAGCCGCCGUAA
This 500-nucleotide ribosomal RNA is filed under the name uncultured bacterium. RNAcentral describes it as "partial 16S ribosomal RNA". It matches the Rfam family "Bacterial small subunit ribosomal RNA", at positions 30 to 523 of the family's 1533-position model. The record is from RNAcentral.